UAUCUCUGUAGAGUCUGCAUAUCAAUAAGCGGAGGAAAAGAAACUAACAAGGAUUCCCUUAGUAACGGCGAGUGAAGCGGGAAGAGCUCAAAUUUGAAAUCUUCAAGGUUUACCUUGACGAAUUGUAGUUUAAAGAAGUGUUUUCUGUUGGAGUUUUGGUAAAAGUUCUUUGGAAUAGGACAUCAUAGAGGGUGAGAAUCCCGUAUUUGACCGUUACUUUCAGCUGUUGGUGAUACACUUUCAAAGAGUCGGAUUGUUUGGGAAUGCAGUCCAAAAUGGGUGGUAAAUUUCAUCUAAAGCUAAAUAUUGGCGAGAGACCGAUAGCGAACAAGUACCGUGAGGGAAAGAUGAAAAGAACUUUGAAAAGAGAGUUAAACAGUACGUGAAAUUGUCAAAAGGGAAGCGUUUGACACCAGUGUUGUUUUCUCGAAAAUCAAUUAAAAAUGGCUUGAUUUUGUGUUGUAUUGACCUUAAAAGCUUUCUUCACUUUUUUCAUGUCUUUUUUAAUGCACUUUUCGUUUAACAAGUCAACAUCAGUUUCUUUUGUUGUAAAAAGGUCAUUGGAAGGUGGCUUUCACUUCGGUGAAAGUGUUUAUAGCCUUUGGCUUCUGCAAUCGGAGAGAUUGAGGUCUGCAGCGUAGAUCCUUCGGGGCUAGAUACGUAGAUGCUAAGUUAUAGUUUUUUAUAGACAACUUGUUGACUAUAAUUAAUCAUGUAGCUUACUCGUUUGCGCUAUUUUACCUACGCUUAGGAUGUUGAAGAUGUAGCACAUCAU
Molecule: ribosomal RNA, 775 nt
Filed under: uncultured Neocallimastigales
Lineage: Eukaryota; Fungi; Neocallimastigomycota; Neocallimastigomycetes; Neocallimastigales
Description: partial large subunit ribosomal RNA
Rfam family: Eukaryotic large subunit ribosomal RNA
Source: RNAcentral